RNAcentral lists this ribosomal RNA (497 nucleotides) under uncultured bacterium. RNAcentral describes it as "partial 16S ribosomal RNA". It matches the Rfam family "Bacterial small subunit ribosomal RNA", at positions 28 to 507 of the family's 1533-position model. The record is from RNAcentral.
GACGAACGCUGGCGGCGUGCCUAAUACAUGCAAGUUGAGCGAUGAAGAUUGGUGCUUGCACCAAUUUGAAGAGCAGCGAACGGGUGAGUAACGCGUGGGGAAUCUGCCUUUGAGCGGGGGACAACAUUUGGAAACGAAUGCUAAUACCGCAUAACAACUUUAAACAUAAGUUUUAAGUUUGAAAGAUGCAAUUGCAUCACUCAAAGAUGAUCCCGCGUUGUAUUAGCUAGUUGGUGAGGUAAAGGCUCACCAAGGCGAUGAUACAUAGCCGACCUGAGAGGGUGAUCGGCCACAUUGGGACUGAGACACGGCCCAAACUCCUACGGGAGGCAGCAGGAGGGGAUCUUCGGCAAUGGACGAAAGUCUGACCGAGCAACGCCGCGUGAGUGAAGAAGGUUGUCGGAUCGUAAAACUCUGUUGGUAGAGAAGAACGUUGGUGAGAGUGGAAAGCUCAUCAAGUGACGGUAACUACCCAGAAAGGGACGGCUAACUACGUG